This 92-nucleotide transfer RNA is filed under the name Triticum aestivum (bread wheat). It matches the Rfam family "tRNA". Rfam says of the family: Transfer RNA (tRNA) molecules are approximately 80 nucleotides in length. Their secondary structure includes four short double-helical elements and three loops (D, anti-codon, and T loops). The record is from Rfam by way of RNAcentral. Lineage: Eukaryota; Viridiplantae; Streptophyta; Magnoliopsida; Poales; Poaceae.
GGGGUGGUGGCGCAGUUGGCUAGUGCGCAGGUCUCAUAGCUAUCUAACAGCGAGCGAUCCUGAGCUCGAGAGUUCGAACCUCUCUCACCCCA